Molecule: ribosomal RNA, 253 nt
Filed under: uncultured bacterium
Lineage: Bacteria
Description: partial 16S ribosomal RNA
Rfam family: Bacterial small subunit ribosomal RNA
Source: RNAcentral
UACAGAGGUCGCAAGCGUUAAUCGGAUUUACUGGGCGUAAAGCGUGUGUAGGUGGUUGUUCAAGUCGGUUGUGAAAUCCCCGGGCUCAACCUGGGAACUGCUUCCGAGACUGAGCGACUAGAGAUCGGUAGAGGGCGGUGGAAUUUCCGGUGUAGCGGUGAAAUGCGUAGAGAUGUGGAGGAACACCAGUGGCGAAGGCGACUCUUUGGCCUGUAACUGACACUGAGGCGCGAAAGCGUGGGGAGCGAACAGG